GUCAAAAUUUAGGACCUUUGAGCGCCGAGAACAUUUGGAAGAAAAUUUUAAAAAGAUGCAUCUUCAAAGUUCAUCCAAGUCACAAUUUUUAGAGGUUAACCAUUAUAGGUUAAAAUAAGGUCUCCAUGCAACAUGGAGCCUCGGCUUACACCGAAGAGAAAGACACAAAGGCCGCAAAAAUGACGUGUAAAUCUUAAUUAAAAAAACACCCGAAAACUAGAAACAC
This 226-nucleotide long non-coding RNA is filed under the name Mytilus galloprovincialis (Mediterranean mussel). Lineage: Eukaryota; Metazoa; Mollusca; Bivalvia; Mytilida; Mytilidae. The record is from RNAcentral.